GCAUCGAUGAAGAACGCAGCGAACUGCGAUACGUAAUGCGAAUUGCAGGAUUCAGUGAGUCAUCGAAAUUUUGAACGCAUAUUGCACUUCCGGGUUAGUCCUGGGAGUAUGCCUGUAUCAGUGUCCGUACACUAAACUUGGCUCCCUUCCUUCCGUGUAGUCGGUGGAUGGGGACGCGCAGAGAUGUGAAGUGUCUUGCGGCUGGUCUUCGGUCCGGCUGCGAGUCCUUUGAAAUGUACUACACUGUACUUCUCUUUGCUCGAAAAGCGUGACGUUGCUGGUUGUGGAGGCUGCCUGUGAUGGCAUGUCGGCGACCGGUUUGUCUGCUGCGGCGUUUAAUGGAGGAGUGUUCGAUUCGCGGUAUGAUCGGACUUCGGCUGAACAGACGCUUAAUUGGGUGACUUUUCCUGCUGUGGCUGGAUGGACUGGUGAACCGUAGCCUGUGCUAGGCUUAGGCGUUUUGAAACCGUGCUGGUGUCGGUGCGAAGUAGGGUAGUCUAGUUUCCGGCGCAAGCUUUGGGGUGAGACGACAGGGUCGAUCCAUUUGGGAAACGUUUGUGGCCUCGCUUCGGCGCUGCAUCUCAAUUGGAACCUGNAUAUCAGGCAAGAUUAACCCUGCUGAACUUAAAACAUAUCAAUUAANCANNGA
RNAcentral lists this ribosomal RNA (649 nucleotides) under Phytophthora cryptogea. RNAcentral's name for it is "eukaryotic LSU rRNA". The stretch from base 1 to 126 matches the Rfam family "5.8S ribosomal RNA", at positions 30 to 154 of the family's 154-position model. The record is from RNAcentral. Lineage: Eukaryota; Oomycota; Peronosporomycetes; Peronosporales; Peronosporaceae.